GACGGACGCUGGCGGCGUGCUUAACACAUGCAAGUCGAACGGUGAAGCGCCUUCCUUUUUGGUGGGUGUGGAUGAGUGGCGAACGGGUGAGUAACACGUGAGUAACCUGCCCCCUUCUUCUGGAUAACCGCAUGAAAGUGUGGCUAAUACGGGAUAUUCUGGGUCUGUCGCAUGAUGGGUCUGGGAAAGAUAUUGUUUCGGUGGGGGAUGGGCUCGCGGCCUAUCAGCUUGUUGGUGGGGUGAUGGCCUACCAAGGCGGUGACGGGUAGCCGGCCUGAGAGGGUGGACGGUCACACUGGGACUGAGACACGGCCCAGACUCCUACGGGAGGCAGCAGUGGGGAAUAGUGCACAAUGGGCGCAAGCCUGAUGCAGCGACGCCGCGUGAGGGAUGGAGGCCUUCGGGUUGUGAACCUCUUUCGCCAGUGAAGCAGGCCUGCCUCGUUUGUGGGUGGGUUGACGGUAGCUGGAUAAGAAGCGCCGGCUAACUACGUG
Molecule: ribosomal RNA, 494 nt
Filed under: uncultured bacterium
Lineage: Bacteria
Description: partial 16S ribosomal RNA
Rfam family: Bacterial small subunit ribosomal RNA
Source: RNAcentral